This 217-nucleotide ribosomal RNA is filed under the name uncultured bacterium. RNAcentral describes it as "partial 16S ribosomal RNA". It matches the Rfam family "Bacterial small subunit ribosomal RNA", at positions 114 to 334 of the family's 1533-position model. The record is from RNAcentral.
UGCAUAGGAAUCUGCCUAGUAGUGGGGGACAACCUGGUGAAAACCAGGCUAAUACCGCAUACGACCUACGGGUGAAAGCAGGGGAUCUUCGGACCUUGCGCUAUUAGAUGAGCCUAUGUCUGAUUAGCUAGUUGGUAAGGUAAUGGCUUACCAAGGCGACGAUCAGUAGCUGGUCUGAGAGGAUGAUCAGCCACACUGGGACUGAGACACGGCCCAG